UUCAAGAUUAAAAUCGCCAGAAUGGAACUUCACAAACCAUCAAUGUACUGUGUGUUCAUUAGCCACAUCCUUCCCCAACUCCCCACUGAUGUUUUGAGCUGUCUGUGGGCACUGCAUUGGUUCUACUGAUGAAUUCAUCCAAAUGUAUAAAGAAGAACCAAUAUCAACCCUCUUUAAACUAUUCUGAAAAACUGAAGAGGAAGUAAUUCUCCCUAACUCAUUCUAAGGCAUCAACAUCACCCUAAUACAAAAACCAGACAAUGGCCUUUCUGUCUGGCGGCCGCCAUCAGGUAAGCCAAGAUGGGUGCAUGCAAGUAUAUCCAGGAGCUGUGGAGGAAGCAGCAGUCUGAUGCAAUGCACUUUCUUCUGAGGGUCGCUGCUGGCAAUGCCGGCAGCUCUCUGCGCUCCACAGGGCUCCCCGCCCCACCCGACUGGAUAAAGCGCGCAGACUGGGAUACAAGGCCAAGCAAGGUUAUGUCAUAUAUAGGAUUUGUGUGCACCGUGGUGGCCCCAAACGCCCAGUUCCUAAGGGUGCGACUUACGGCAAGCCUGUCCAUCAUGGUGUUAACCAGCUAAAAUUUGCUCUAAGCCUUCAAUCUGUUGCCGAGGAGCGAGCUGGAUGCCACCGCGGGGCUCUGAGAGUCCUGAAUUCUUACUGGGUUGGUGAAGAUUCCACGUACAAAUUUUUUGAGGUUAUCCUCAUUGAUCCAUUCCAUAAAGCUAUCAGAAGAAAUCCUGAUACCCAGUGGAUCACGAAACCGGUCCACAAGCACAGGGAGAUUCGUGGGCUGACGUCUGCAGGCCGCAAGAGCCCUGGCCUUGGAAAGGGCCAUAAGUUCCACCACACUAUUGGUGGUUCUCGCCGUGCAGCUUGGAGAAGGCGCAAUACUCUCCAGCUCCACCAUUACCGCUAAUAAGUAAUGUCUGUAAAAUUCAUACCUAAUAAACAAUUUAGGAUGGUCAUGUCUGCUUAAAGGUGUUAUUUGUCUGUUAAGCUAGUCUGCAGAUUGUUUCAUGAAUGCUUUGUCAAAUAUGAAGUUAAAAGUGCAAUAAUGUUUGAAGACUAUAAGUGAUGGUGUAUUUGUUUCUAAUAAGAUAAGCUUUUUUUGUCUUUUGCUUUAUCUUAUUAGGGAGUUUUAUGUCAGUGUUUAAAACAUGCUGUGUGGUAUAAUAGGUGUAAAAUAAAUUCUUUAAAAGAGAAGUGCUACAACUACCCUGUAGAUUUGUUUGAUGCAUGUGGUGAAACCUACAGCUUUACUGGGGUGAUGGCAAUGCUCUGCUUGCUUUUUAAUUGGGUUUUGUUUAGAAAUUUAUAGGGUGGGAGGAGGAUAUCCUAACCCUAUGUAUGUCGUGGUCAUAUGUAGAAAAAUAUGAGCUCAUGUAGAGCCCGUGUCUUCAGAUUUAGUCCAGUGUUCCAUUUGUUUCUGAAAGAAAAGUUUAAAAUGCCACUGUUUUUUGGAACUAAAUAUACCUGUUGCAACAGGCUUAUCUUAUGAAUUAAACUUCUGGGUUAACCUAAAAAUUGCCUCAGUCUCCACCGUACCAUUUAAGUUAACAUAAGAGAUAAAAGCUGCUCCUGAUUCAAUCCCAUGGCUCCAUGAAAUCUAGAGUCCUGGAUUCUAUACAUAGUAGACAGUAGUGGUAUUUACACUGUAUUUUGAAACUGAUGGAAAUUGAAUGUUAGGCAAGUAAGAAUCAUUAACCUUAUAUUUGUAAGCUGGUAAGCCAGUGGCCAUUAGGUAAAUACCUUUCAAAGGUGAGGUGAGAAAAUUAAAGUCACCUUUAUUCAAGAUUUUUAAAUACUUAUCUGUAACACUAACUUGUGAGCAUUAUAAAUCCUCUAGCCACAUUAGGGGUAAAAGUAUAGUUGGCUGCUUAAAAAUAUGUCAUUCUCAGUCCAUUCUUAACAAAUCAUCUUGGGUCAGCCCAGUCUAUAAGGAACAGGGAAGAGUCAUACAUAGUUGGUGUCGAUGUAAAUUCAUGGUUUCCAAUCUAACCUUACACUUCCUCGGUUUGUUUCUGAUCAAAAUACCCUGAAAAUCCUUAGCCUUUCACAAAGUUGGGCCAUCAGUUG
Microcebus murinus (gray mouse lemur) is the source of this 2074-nucleotide non-coding RNA. Lineage: Eukaryota; Metazoa; Chordata; Mammalia; Primates; Cheirogaleidae. The record is from RefSeq and is a predicted model, not a curated record.